ACGGAGGGUGCAAGCGUUAUUCGGAGUUACUGGGCGUAAAGGGCGUGCAGGCGGGUGAGCAAGUCUGGUGUGAAAGUCCGGGGCUUAACCCCGGGACGGCAUUGGAAACUUUUUGACUGGAGUUCGGGAGAGGAAAGGAGAAUUCCCGGUGUAGCGGUGAAAUGCGUAGAGAUCGGGAGGAACACCAGUGGCGAAGGCGCGCUGCUGGACAGCAACUGACGCUGAGACGCGAAAGCGUGGGGAGCAAACAG
This 251-nucleotide ribosomal RNA is filed under the name uncultured prokaryote. RNAcentral describes it as "partial 16S rRNA". It matches the Rfam family "Bacterial small subunit ribosomal RNA", at positions 525 to 775 of the family's 1533-position model. The record is from RNAcentral.